Molecule: small RNA, 18 nt
Filed under: Arabidopsis thaliana (thale cress)
Lineage: Eukaryota; Viridiplantae; Streptophyta; Magnoliopsida; Brassicales; Brassicaceae
Description: ATSL214400
Source: RNAcentral
AGAAGAAGAACAACAAGA